GCAAGUCGAGCGCUUCACUUCGGUGAGGAGCGGCGGACGGGUUAGUAACGCGUGGGAAUAUACCCUUCUCUACGGAAUAGCCUCGGGAAACUGAGAGUAAUACCGUAUAAGCCCUUCGGGGGAAAGAUUUAUCGGUGAAGGAUUAGCCCGCGUUAGAUUAGAUAGUUGGUGGGGUAAUGGCCUACCAAGCCAACGAUGGGUAGCCGGCCUGAGAGGGUGAAC
Molecule: ribosomal RNA, 222 nt
Filed under: uncultured bacterium
Lineage: Bacteria
Description: partial 16S ribosomal RNA
Rfam family: Bacterial small subunit ribosomal RNA
Source: RNAcentral